RNAcentral lists this transfer RNA (65 nucleotides) under Dipodomys ordii (Ord's kangaroo rat). It matches the Rfam family "tRNA". From Rfam's summary of the family: Transfer RNA (tRNA) molecules are approximately 80 nucleotides in length. Their secondary structure includes four short double-helical elements and three loops (D, anti-codon, and T loops). Further hydrogen bonds mediate the characteristic L-shaped molecular structure. tRNAs have two regions of fundamental functional importance: the anti-codon, which is responsible for specific mRNA codon recognition, and the 3' end, to which the tRNAs corresponding amino acid is attached (by aminoacyl-tRNA synthetases). tRNAs cope with the degeneracy of the genetic code in two manners: having more than one tRNA (with a specific anti-codon) for a particular amino acid; and 'wobble' base-pairing, i.e. permitting non-standard base-pairing at the 3rd anti-codon position. Lineage: Eukaryota; Metazoa; Chordata; Mammalia; Rodentia; Heteromyidae. The record is from Rfam by way of RNAcentral.
GGUGGCUCAGUGGUACAGCGCUUGCCUGGCAUGCAUGAGACCCUGGGUUCGAUUCCUCAGCACCA